Molecule: long non-coding RNA, 421 nt
Filed under: Parus major (Great Tit)
Lineage: Eukaryota; Metazoa; Chordata; Aves; Passeriformes; Paridae
Description: lncRNA (ENSPMJG00000007844.1)
Source: RNAcentral
AUGGAGAGUUUUCUGCCUUCUCCAGUUUGUGCAAAGCCAGGAGCCCUUCAGACGUGUGUGCGCUCUUUUCUCUCCUUAGACACUGUGUGUGCUCCUUCUCCCUCAGACAUGGUGUGUGUGCUAACUUGUCCCUCAGACAUGGUGUGUGUGUGUCCUUCCCCCUCAGACAUGGUGUGUAUGCUUUUUCUCCCUCAGACAUGGUGUGUGUGUGCUCAUUCCUUCUCCCUCAGACAUGGUGUGUGUGUGAUCACUCCUUCUCCCUCAGAUAUGGUGCAUGUGUGUGUUAACUCUCCCUCAGACAUGGUGUGUGUGUGUCCUUCUCCCUCAGACAUGCUGUGUGCUCCUUCUCCCUCACACAUGGAGUGUGUGUGCUCCUUGUCCCUCAGACAUGGAGUGUGUGGGUCCUUCUCCCUCAGACAUG